Molecule: ribosomal RNA, 500 nt
Filed under: uncultured bacterium
Lineage: Bacteria
Description: partial 16S ribosomal RNA
Rfam family: Bacterial small subunit ribosomal RNA
Source: RNAcentral
AUUGAACGCUGGCGGAAUGCUUUACACAUGCAAGUCGAACGGCAGCACGGAUUUCGGUCUGGUGGCGAGUGGCGAACGGGUGAGUAGUGUACCGGGACGUGCCCAGUCGUGGGGGAUAACGUAGUGAAAAUUACGCUAAUACCGCAUACGAUCUAUGGAUGAAAGCGGGGGAUCGCAAGACCUCGCGCGAUUGGAGCGGCCGAUAUCAGAUUAGGUAGUUGGUGGGGUAAAGGCCCACCAAGCCAACGAUCUGUAGCUGGUCUGAGAGGACGACCAGCCACACUGGAACUGAGACACGGUCCAGACUCCUACGGGAGGCAGCAGUGGGGAAUUUUGGACAAUGGGCGAAAGCCUGAUCCAGCCAUUCCGCGUGCAGGAUGAAGGCCCUCGGGUUGUAAACUGCUUUUGUACAGAACGAAAAGGUUUCUACUAAUACUAGGAGCUCAUGACGGUACUGUAAGAAUAAGCACCGGCUGACUACGUGCCAGCCGCCGCCGUAA